CCUAAGUCGAGUCCGAAAGGGGUAGACGAUGGCAAAUUGGUUAAUAUUCCAAUACCAACAUUAGUGUGCGAUGGAAGGACGCUUAGGGCUAAGGGGGCUAGCGGAUGGAAGUGCUAGUCUAAGGUCGUAGGAGGUUGUACAGGCAAAUCCGUAUAACAAUACUCCGAGAACUGAAAGGCUUUUUGAAGUCUUCGGAUGGAUAGAAGAACCCCUGAUGCUGUCGAGCCAAGAAAAGUUUCUAAGUUUAGCUAAUGUUGCCCGUACCGUAAACCGACACAGGUGGGUGGGAUGAGUAUUCUAAGGCGCGUGGAAGAACUCUCUUUAAGGAACUCUGCAAAAUAGCACCGUAUCUUCGGUAUAAGGUGUGGUUAGCUUUGUAUUAGGAUUUACUCCGAAAGCAAGGAAACUUACAACAAAGAGUCCCUCCCGACUGUUUACCAAAAACACAGCACUCUGCUAACUCGUAAGAGGAUGUAUAGGGUGUGACGCCUGCCCGGUGCUCGAAGGUUAAUUGAUGGGGUUAGCAUUAGCGAAGCUCUUGAUCGAAGCCCGAGUAAACGGCGGCCGUAACUAUAACGGUCCUAAGGUAGCGAAAUUCCUUGUCGGUUAAAUACCGACCUGCAUGAAUGGCGUAACGAGAUGGGAGCUGUCUCAAAGAGGGAUCCAGUGAAAUUGUAGUGGAGGUGAAAAUUCCUCCUACCCGCGGCAAGACGGAAAGACCCCGUGGACCUUUACUACAGCUUGACACUGCUACUUGGAUAAGAAUGUGCAGGAUAGGUGGGAGGCUUUGAGUAUAUGACGCCAGUUGUAUAUGAGCCAUUGUUGAGAUACCACUCUUUCUUAUUUGGGUAGCUAACCAGCUUGAGUUAUCCUCAAGUGGGACAAUGUCUGGUGGGUAGUUUGACUGGGGCGGUCGCCUCCCAAAUAAUAACGGAGGCUUACAAAGGUUGGCUCAGAACGGUUGGAAAUCGUUCGUAGAGUAUAAAGGUAUAAGCCAGCUUAACUGCAAGACAUACAAGUCAAGCAGAGACGAAAGUCGGUCUUAGUGAUCCGGUGGUUCUGUGUGGAAGGGCCAUCGCUCAAAGGAUAAAAGGUACCCCGGGGAUAACAGGCUGAUCUCCCCCAAGAGCUCACAUCGACGGGGAGGUUUGGCACCUCGAUGUCGGCUCAUCGCAUCCUGGGGCUGGAGCAGGUCCCAAGGGUAUGGCUGUUCGCCAUUUAAAGCGGUACGCGAGCUGGGUUCAGAACGUCGUGAGACAGUUCGGUCCCUAUCUGCCGUGGGCGUAAGAAGAUUGAAGAGAUUUGACCCUAGUACGAGAGGACCGGGUUGAACAAACCACUGGUGUAGCUGUUGUUCUGCCAAGAGCAUCGCAGCGUAGCUAAGUUUGGAAAGGAUAAACGCUGAAAGCAUCUAAGCGUGAAGCCAACUCUAAGAUGAAUCUUCUCUAAGCUCUCUAGAAGACUACUAGUUUGAUAGGCUGGGUGUGUAAUGGAUGAAAGUCCUUUAGCUGACCAGUACUAAUAGAGCGUUUGG
RNAcentral lists this ribosomal RNA (1534 nucleotides) under Campylobacter jejuni. Its description in RNAcentral is "partial 23S ribosomal RNA". It matches the Rfam family "Bacterial large subunit ribosomal RNA", at positions 1390 to 2916 of the family's 2925-position model. Lineage: Bacteria; Pseudomonadati; Campylobacterota; Epsilonproteobacteria; Campylobacterales; Campylobacteraceae. The record is from RNAcentral.